RNAcentral lists this long non-coding RNA (905 nucleotides) under Brachypodium distachyon (stiff brome). RNAcentral describes it as "long non-coding RNA (BDIS_LNC002852)". The record is from RNAcentral. Lineage: Eukaryota; Viridiplantae; Streptophyta; Magnoliopsida; Poales; Poaceae.
AGGUCUCUACAAGCGGUCGUUUUACACAUUGACCGAUUUAACAUCUAAAAAAAAUUAACUAUCAAUUCUUAGUUUAUUUACAGAUAUUUAGAUUAGAUACAUGAACAUCAUAUAUAUAAAUUUAUCUCAAAACAUGCUUCAUAUAUUUUUUGCCGAAUUUGUAAAUAUACUAUUAAAAUUUGUAUUUCGUAGAAAAAACUGUAAGUCGACGUCCAAAAUGAAGGUCGGUGCGAAUAAAUUAAAAAAUCUAAUAAAAGGUAAAGUGCUUAUUAAAUAAUAUUUACUAGCAAUUUAUCAACUGGUCUGUUUUGUGAAAAUUUAGGGUAAUGAUAUAACCUUUCUCGUGUACUUAAUAUAUCAUCAUACACUCAACAACAAAAUUCAGUUCAUUUUCGGUCAAAAAAAACAAAAUUCAGUUCAUAAACUAAAUUAAACAGAAGAAAAAUACCAUUCAAUAGUUCUCAAAUACAUACACAAGAAAAGGACUAGAUUCAUCGUGACAUAUUACUUGUCACAAUCAACACAUGCUUCUUGGGCCUGCCCCAAAGUCUUUGUAGUGCCUGCCUGGUCCUGGCAUCUUGGUGUACACAAACUGCUUCUGCACUGUGGUACCACCCAAUAAAAAAAGAAGAAGAAUAUAUAAAUAUGACUAAAAUUGCUCGCUACACACAUACAUAUAGUACCAGCUAUCUGACUAUCCCAAUCAUCUCAGGACUAAGGAUUAAUUUGAUGUGCAAUAUGCCAUAAUCAACCACAAGCUAGAACCAGAUCACGGUUAACUAUUAACUAAUUAUCUCCAUUGUGUACCCUAAUUCACUUAUCUACUUGGAAGUUCACAUUGAAGCCAAUAUAAGUUUGGAACCAAAAUUUGCAAACUUACAAAACUUCUUUCAUAAAAUGCCUAU